AGUAAUAUUUAGUUCACUUUGGCCAGUUGCACGUUCAAAAUUCUAUAGAUAACACACAAUCCUAAAAAUAUAUAUUGCAGUAAAGAAUGGUGUAUACCAUUGUUUCCAUCAUGUUUUGCUUGUUAAAUGAGGCAUAAUAUGAAUUUAUUCAGGUCUAAAGUGACUUAGCAGUACUGCUUUGUUAGUGGGCAUGUCUUGGAUAAUUGACUAUGUGCUGUUUUUAACAUUGAAAGCUUAUCCUCUUCCUGGCUGUUUUUUUAAGGUCUGGAUGGAAACACAGCCACAGUCUUCCAAUGAAGCAAGCUGAUUUUUCUCCCUGAUGGGCUGAAGAAGCACAGGUUGUCCUGGUCAAUGAGGCCUGCCUUCUCUGUGAUGUUCAGACAUUUUCUGGGAAAUUGCCAUGGCAAGAAAAAUUGCAUCUCUCCUCUCCUCCUCCUUCUCAUUUUCUCUCCCUGCAAAGAAUAUUGUUUGUGAAAGCAGCACAACACAGCAACCCUGAUAGCAAGACCAGACCGGAACCCACCUGAUGAGACAAGACAGCAACACUCACACCAGGACAAUGAGAGAACUCUUAGAGGACAACAAGAUCAGCUGCAAAAAGGUAGGGAAGACACCUGAGGGUUAGAGAGGAACAGGUGUGGCUUGGAGGCUGAGCAGGUUUUUCUCAGGACUUUUCCAACACUUCUAAG
RNAcentral lists this long non-coding RNA (689 nucleotides) under Junco hyemalis (dark-eyed junco). RNAcentral describes it as "lncRNA (ENSJHYG00000000175.1)". Lineage: Eukaryota; Metazoa; Chordata; Aves; Passeriformes; Passerellidae. The record is from RNAcentral.